GAUGAACGCUGGCGGCGUGCCUAAUACAUGCCAGUCGAGCGAACAGACGAGGCGCUUGCUCCUCUGACGUUAGCGGCGGACGGGUGAGUAACACGUGGCUAACCUACCUAUAAGACUGGGAUCACUUCGGGAACCCGGAGCUAAUACCGGAUAAUAUAUUGAACCGCAUGGUUCAAUAGUGAAAGACGGUUUUGCUGUCACUUAUAGAUGGAUCCGCGCCGCAUUAGCUAGUUGGUAAGGUAACGGCUUACCAAGGCAACGAUGCGUAGCCGACCUGAGAGGGUGAUCGGCCACACUGGAACUGAGACACGGUCCAGACUCCUACGGGAGGCAGCAGUAGGGAAUCUUCCGCAAUGGGCGAAAGCUUGACGGAGCAACGCCGCGUGAGUGAUGAAGGUCUUCGGAUCGUAAAACUCUGUUAUUAGGGAAGAACAAAUGUGUAAGUAACUAUGCACGUCUUGACGGUACCUAAUCAGAAAGCCACGGCUAACUACGUG
RNAcentral lists this ribosomal RNA (497 nucleotides) under uncultured bacterium. RNAcentral's name for it is "partial 16S ribosomal RNA". It matches the Rfam family "Bacterial small subunit ribosomal RNA", at positions 28 to 507 of the family's 1533-position model. The record is from RNAcentral.